UCUUACUAGCCAUAUCACCCUGCAGCCCAAGACUGGUUGCCCACUGAAGCUAAGCAGGGUUGAGCCUGGUCAGUACCUGGAUGGGAGACCUCCUGGGAAAACUAGGUUGCUGUUGGAA
This 118-nucleotide ribosomal RNA is filed under the name Sinocyclocheilus anshuiensis. Lineage: Eukaryota; Metazoa; Chordata; Actinopteri; Cypriniformes; Cyprinidae. The record is from RNAcentral.